GUGCAGCGCCGCCUCCCGUUCGCCUCUGCGCCUGGCCCGGCGACUGCGGGCGCUGCGGUCCACUGGGUCCGCCUCUUCCCGGCAUGGGUUUCUGCCCAGCUCACCCGCUGUCAGCUGGGGUCCUGCUCUGGUGGGAGGAAGAGGCUCAGACGCUUCCCUGCCCUCUCGCCUCAACCACCUCGAGGCAGCGGCUCCCAGGAUGUGCACUUUGACGACUAAAGCUGAGCCGGCGCCGCCACGACCUUGGGCGGGUGGUCGGCCUCUGCCCUGAGCAGGAAGUAGAAAGUCUCAGCAGACCCUUCCUGAGGGCCGAGCAACAGUGUAGUGGCGUAUUCCACAUAGCAAACAGGGACCCUGGGAGCAUCUGUGUUCUCGUGUUCUUCUUGCCUGUGAGGCCUCUUCUCUCUGAGGACAGAUGGUAGGACAGAGAGAAGACAGCAAAUGGAAAACAAAGGCUGCUAUUUUUUUGUGGGAGAAAAAGUCAUGUGAUGACACACCAAGAAGGUGGCUGUCUGCAAGCCAGGAAGAGAGGCCUUACCAGAAACCAAUCCUGGUGCACCUUAAUCUCAAACUUGAGCCUCCAGGACUGUACGAAAAUAAAUAUUUGUUGUGUAAGCACCCCCAGUGUAUGCUAUUCUGUUAUGGCAGCCCUAGCACACUAAUAUAAAUGCCUACUGCCUGCAAAGUGCUUUGCCUUUGAGGGUUGCAAAAGAGGAUCCCCUCCAGGGAUCCAUGGUCUCAUUGGGAUUUUCCUGUUUGGUCUGUGUCCUGUUCUUGAGUCUCCGCAGGCAGCAUUUCUUCCUGUGACAAUAUGGUGUAAGACAAAAUUGUGGCCUGCCAUGAAGUUGUGAGAGAAAAGCAUCCCUCAUUUCUUCAGGAAAGGCCACUGCCGUUCCCUCCGGCUCCUCUUCUCAGGAGUUUGUGCAUUCAUGAGGUGAAUUCCUUGGAAGAUGAGGGCCAAGUCUUAUUCUUCUCAGUCUCUUCUGCAUCUAGCAGAAGAAUAAUGGUUGCACAGAAAAUCUUGGUUCAGUGGUUGAGUGAAUGAAUGGAUGAACAGGCUCUUGCACACAAAGAAGAGACAUGAUGUAUUUGCAUCCUUCCCUGCUUCAGCCAGGUCCCCAGACAGUCCCGGUGUGCACACUUCCCUGCUUCUGUUCAUGAUGUUCUCUGAACCUGGGAUCACCUUUCCCCUUCCUCUUACCUGCCCGAUCCUACUUGUCCUCCCAGAUUCAGUUUUCUGAAGCUCAGAGGGACACCUUGUAUUGCUGGAUGAUAAAAACAGGAGCAAAGUGAUGAAGUGCUGACAAGGCAACAAUAGAACAUGAGAGAUUCACUGCUGUGUAGGAAGAGAUCUUCGGUGACCAUGUAGCCUGAAGCUCUCAUUUUGUCAUCGAGGGACACCAAAACUCAGAACAGCAGCAGCUCACGCUGCUGAUGCAACACAGGUGAAGAGCACCUUCCCCUCCCCCACCUGUGGGCUGAUUCCCACCACGUGGAUCCCAAGGCCAUCCCAGGAACUCUUUGGAGGGGAGAAGCCCAGUGGAAACUGUCAGGCCUCUGAGCACAAGCCAAGCCAUCGCAUCCCCUGUGACUUGCACGUAUAUGCCCAGAUGGCCUGAAGUAACUGAAGAAUCACAAAAGAAGUGAAAAGGCCCUGCCCCACCUUAACUGAUGACAUUCCACCAUUGUGAUUUGUUCCUGCCCCACCUUCACUGAGUGAUUAACCCUGUGAAUUUCCUUCUCCUGGCUCAGAAGCUCCCCCACUGAGCACCUUGUGACCCCCGCCCCUGCCCACCAGAGAACAACCCCCUUUGACUGUAAUUUUCCAUUACCUUCCCAAAUCCUAUAAAACGGCCCCACCCCUAUCUCCCUUCGCUGACUCUCUUUUCGGACUCAGCCCGCCUGCACCCAGGUGAAAUAAACAGCCAUGUUGCUCACA
RNAcentral lists this long non-coding RNA (1939 nucleotides) under Homo sapiens (human). RNAcentral's name for it is "HSALNT0010956". Lineage: Eukaryota; Metazoa; Chordata; Mammalia; Primates; Hominidae. The record is from RNAcentral.